RNAcentral lists this ribosomal RNA (839 nucleotides) under uncultured organism. RNAcentral's name for it is "bacterial SSU rRNA". It matches the Rfam family "Bacterial small subunit ribosomal RNA", at positions 34 to 884 of the family's 1533-position model. The record is from RNAcentral.
CGUUGGCGGCGCGCUUACACAUGCAAGUCGAGCGAGAAAGCCCCUUCGGGGGUGAGUACAGCGGCGCACGGGUGAGUAACACGUGGACAAUCUACCUCGAAGUGGGGGAUAACUGCGCGAAAGUGGGGCUAAUACCGCAUAAUCUUCUUUUGCCGAGGUGAAAGGAGGAAAGGUUACCGCUUUGAGAUGAGUCUGCGGCCCAUCAGCUAGUUGGUAGGGUAACGGCCUACCAAGGCGACGACGGGUAGCUGGCCUGAGAGGGUAACCAGCCACACUGGAACUGGAACACGGUCCAGACUCCUACGGGAGGCAGCAGUGGGGAAUCUUGCGCAAUGGGGGAAACCCUGACGCAGCGACACCGCGUGGGUGAAGAAGGCCUUCGGGUUGUAAAGCCCUGUCGCAGAGGAAGAAAAGGCAACUUGACGGUACUCUGUGAGAAAGCACAGGCUAACUCCGUGCCAGCAGCCGCGGUAACACGGAGUGUGCGAGCGUUGUUCGGAAUCACUGGGCGUAAAGCGAUUGUAGGCGGAUUAUCAAGUCGGUUGUGAAAUCCCGGGGUUCAACCCCGGACUGGCAUCCGAAACUGAUAGUCUUGAGUCCGGUAGAGGGCAGUGGAAUUCCCGGUGUAGAGGUGAAAUUCGUAGAUAUCGGGAAGAACACCAGUGGCGAAGGCGACUGCCUAGGCCGAGACUGACGCUGAGAAUCGAAAGCGUGGGGAGCGAACAGGAUUAGAUACCCUGGUAGUCUACGCCGUCGACGGUGGGCACUAGGUGGUGCGGGUGUCUGACCCCUGCGCCGGCGGAGUUAACGCAUUAAGGUGCACCCGACUGGGGAGUACG